Molecule: transfer RNA, 76 nt
Filed under: Gammaproteobacteria bacterium
Lineage: Bacteria; Pseudomonadati; Pseudomonadota; Gammaproteobacteria
Also listed under: 7 other names
Description: tRNA-Ala
Rfam family: tRNA
About the family: Transfer RNA (tRNA) molecules are approximately 80 nucleotides in length. Their secondary structure includes four short double-helical elements and three loops (D, anti-codon, and T loops).
Source: RNAcentral
GGGGCCAUAGCUCAGCUGGGAGAGCGUCUGGUUUGCAACCAGAAGGUCGCCGGUUCGAUCCCGGCUGGCUCCACCA